GCCAGGCAUGGUGGCGCAUGCCUGUAGUCCCAGCUACUUGGGAGGCUGAGGCAGGAGAAUCACUUGCACCUGGGAGAUGGAGAUUGCGAUUGCAGUGAGCCGAGAUUAUGCCACUGCACUCCAGCCUUGGCGACAGAGUGAGACUCUGUCUCAA
RNAcentral lists this non-coding RNA (154 nucleotides) under Gorilla gorilla gorilla (western lowland gorilla). Lineage: Eukaryota; Metazoa; Chordata; Mammalia; Primates; Hominidae. The record is from Rfam by way of RNAcentral.